CUACGGGGGGCAGCAGUAAGGAAUAUUGCACAAUGGGGGAAACCCUGAUGCAGCAACGCCGCGUGGAUGAAGAAGGCCUUCGGGUUGUAAAAUCCUUUUCUGGGGGAAGAGGAAGGACGGUACCCCAGGAACAAGUCUCGGCUAAGUACGUGCCAGCAGCCGCGGGUAAAACGUAGGAGGCGAGCGUUAUCCGGAUUCACUGGGCGUAAAGGGCAAGUAGGCGGUUGAAAAAGUUGGGUGUGACAUCUCUCGGCUUAACUGGGAGGGAGCGCUCAAGACUAUUCGACUAGAGGGCAGAAGAGGGGGGUAGAACUCCAAAUGUAGCGGUGGAAUGCUCAGAUAUUUGGAAGAAUACCAGUGGCGAAGGCGACCCCCUGGUCUGAACCUGACGCUGAGAGGCGAAAGCUAGGGUAGCGAACGGGAUUAGAUACCCUCGUAGUC
This 441-nucleotide ribosomal RNA is filed under the name uncultured bacterium. RNAcentral's name for it is "partial 16S ribosomal RNA". It matches the Rfam family "Bacterial small subunit ribosomal RNA", at positions 339 to 795 of the family's 1533-position model. The record is from RNAcentral.